ACGGGGAGCACCACAACGGGUGGAGCUUGCGGUUUAAUUGGAUUCAACGCCGAAAUCUUACCGGGACGACAGCAAUAUGAAGGCCAGGCUGAAGACUUUGCCGGAUUAGCUGAGAGGUGGUGCAUGGCCGUCGUCAGUUCGUACUGUGAAGCAUCCUGUUAAGUCAGGCAACGAGCGAGACCCACGCCCACAGUUGCCAGCGUACUCUCUGGAGUGACGGGUACACUGUGGGACCGCCGCUGCUAAAGCGGAGGAAGGAAUGGGCAACGGUAGGUCAGUAUGCCCCGAAUAUCCCGGGCUACACGCGAGCUACAAUGGUUGGUACAAUGGGUAUCUACCCCGAAAGGGGACGGGAAUCUCCUAAAACCAAUCUUAGUUCGGAUUGAGGGCUGCAACUCGCCCUCAUGAAGCUGGAAUCCGUAGUAAUCGCGUUUCAACAGAACGCGGUGAAUACGUCCCUGCUCCUU
This 467-nucleotide ribosomal RNA is filed under the name uncultured Methanosaeta sp. RNAcentral's name for it is "bacterial SSU rRNA". It matches the Rfam family "Archaeal small subunit ribosomal RNA", at positions 871 to 1337 of the family's 1478-position model. The record is from RNAcentral. Lineage: Archaea; Methanobacteriati; Methanobacteriota; Methanomicrobia; Methanotrichales; Methanotrichaceae.